AGUAUCGUCCUAGAGCUGCAGUUCCUCACUCUUCUGCUCAUCCUGUGCCGGGGCUGGCAGCACCUCCGCCCCCUCGCCGGGCCCAGCGGCCCUGUGCAGAGCACUCGGUGGGAGAAGCCCAGGGCUGGCCGUGCCUCCCCCAGGUCCCCUGCACCCAGCGACCCUGUGCAAAACUCUUGGUGUGGGAAGCCCAGGGCUGGCAGUGCCUCCCCCUCACCCAGCGACCCUGUGCAGAGCACUCGGUGGGGGAAGCCCAGGGCUGGCAGCGCCUCCCCCAGCUCCCCUGAACCCAGCGGCCCUGUGCAGAGCACUCGGUGGGGGAAGCCCAGGGCUGGCCACGCCUCCCCCAGGUCCCCUGCACCCAGCGACCCUGUGCAAAACUCUUGGUGUGGGAAGCCCAGGGUUGGCAGUGCCUCCCCCUCACCCAGCGACCCCGUGCAGAGCACUUGGUGUGGGAAUCCCAGGGCUGGCAGCGCCUCCCCCAGCUCCCCUGAACCCAGCGGCCCUGUGCAGAGCACUCGGUGGGGGAAGCCCAGGGCUGGCCACGCCUCCCCCAGGUCCCCUGCACCCAGCGACCCUGUGCAAAACUCUUGGUGUGGGAAGCCCAGGGUUGGCAGUGCCUCCCCCUCACCCAGCGACCCGGUGCAGAGCACUUGGUGUGGGAAUCCCAGGGCUGGCAGCGCCUCCCCCAGCUCCCCUGAACCCAGCGGCCCUGUGCAGAGCACUCGGUGGGGGAAGCCCAGGGCUGGCCACGCCUCCCCCAGGUCCCCUGCACCCAGCGACCCUGUGCAAAACUCUUGGUGUGGGAAGCCCAGGGUUGGCAGUGCCUCCCCCUCACCCAGCGACCCGGUGCAGAGCACUUGGUGUGGGAAUCCCAGGGCUGGCAGCGCCUCCCCCAGCUCCCCUGAACCCAGCGGCCCUGUGCAGAGCACUCGGUGGGGGAAGCCCAGGGCUGGCCACGCCUCCCCCAGGUCCCCUGCACCCAGCGACCCUGUGCAAAACUCUUGGUGUGGGAAGCCCAGGGUUGGCAGUGCCUCCCCCUCACCCAGCGACCCGGUGCAGAGCACUUGGUGUGGGAAUCCCAGGGCUGGCAGCGCCUCCCCCAGCUCCCCUGAACCCAGCGGCCCUGUGCAGAGCACUCGGUGGGGGAAGCCCAGGGCUGGCCACGCCUCCCCCAGGUCCCCUGCACCCAGCGACCCUGUGCAAAACUCUUGGUGUGGGAAGCCCAGGGUUGGCAGUGCCUCCCCCUCACCCAGCGACCCGUGCAGAGCACUUGUUGUGGGAAUCCCAGGGCUGGCAGCGCCUCCCCCAGCUCCCCUGAACCCAGCGGCCCUGUGCAGAGCACUCGGUGGGGGAAGGCCAGGGCUGGCCACGCCUCCCCCAGGUCCCCUGCACCCAGCGACCCUGUGCAAAACUCUUGGUGUGGGAAGCCCAGGGUUGGCAGUGCCUCCCCCUCACCCAGCGACCCUGUGCAGAGCACUCGGUGGGGGAAGCCCAGGGCUGGCAGCGCCUCCCCCAGCUCCCCUGAACCCAGCGGCCCUGUGCAGAGCACUCGGUGGGGGAAGCCCAGGGCUGGCCACGCCUCCCCCAGGUCCCCUGCACCCAGCGACCCUGUGCAAAACUCUUGGUGUGGGAAGCCCAGGGUUGGCAGUGCCUCCCCCUCACCCAGCGACCCCGUGCAGAGCACUUGGUGUGGGAAUCCCAGGGCUGGCAGCGCCUCCCCCAGCUCCCCUGAACCCAGCGGCCCUGUGCAGAGCACUCGGUGGGGGAAGCCCAGGGCUGGCCACGCCUCCCCCAGGUCCCCUGCACCCAGCGACCCUGUGCAAAACUCUUGGUGUGGGAAGCCCAGGGUUGGCAGUGCCUCCCCCUCACCCAGCGACCCCGUGCAGAGCACUUGGUGUGGGAAUCCCAGGGCUGGCAGCGCCUCCCCCAGCUCCCCUGAACCCAGCGGCCCUGUGCAGAGCACUCGGUGGGGGAAGCCCAGGGCUGGCCACGCCUCCCCCAGGUCCCCUGCACCCAGCGACCCUGUGCAAAACUCUUGGUGUGGGAAGCCCAGGGUUGGCAGUGCCUCCCCCUCACCCAGCGACCCGUGCAGAGCACUUGUUGUGGGAAUCCCAGGGCUGGCAGCGCCUCCCCCAGCUCCCCUGA
Molecule: long non-coding RNA, 2148 nt
Filed under: Gopherus agassizii (Agassiz's desert tortoise)
Lineage: Eukaryota; Metazoa; Chordata; Testudines; Testudinidae
Description: lncRNA (ENSGAGG00000007757.1)
Source: RNAcentral